This 506-nucleotide ribosomal RNA is filed under the name uncultured bacterium. RNAcentral describes it as "partial 16S ribosomal RNA". It matches the Rfam family "Bacterial small subunit ribosomal RNA", at positions 29 to 523 of the family's 1533-position model. The record is from RNAcentral.
AGUGAACGCUGGCGGUAGGCCUAACACAUGCGAGUCGAACGGCAGCACAGAGGAGCUUGCUCCUUGGGUGGCGAGUGGCGGACGGGUGAGGAAUACAUCGGAAUCUACUCUGUCGUGGGGGAUAACGUAGGGAAACUUACGCUAAUACCGCAUACGACCUACGGGUGAAAGCCGGGGAUCUUCGGACCUUGCGCGAUUGAAUGAGCCGAUGUCGGAUUAGCUAGUUGGCGGGGUAAAGGCCCACCAAGGCGACGAUCCGUAGCUGGUCUGAGAGGAUGAUCAGCCACACUGGAACUGAGACACGGUCCAGACUCCUACGGGAGGCAGCAGUGGGGAAUAUUGGACAAUGGGCGCAAGCCUGAUCCAGCCAUACCGCGUGGGUGAAGAAGGCCUUCGGGUUGUAAAGCCCUUUUGUUGGGAAAGAAAUCCAUCUGGUUAAUACCCGGGUGGGAUGACGGUACCCAAAGAAUAAGCACCGGCUAACUUCGUGCCAGCCGCCGCGGUAA